RNAcentral lists this ribosomal RNA (572 nucleotides) under uncultured Actinomycetes bacterium. Its description in RNAcentral is "bacterial SSU rRNA". It matches the Rfam family "Bacterial small subunit ribosomal RNA", at positions 57 to 648 of the family's 1533-position model. The record is from RNAcentral. Lineage: Bacteria; Bacillati; Actinomycetota; Actinomycetes.
GCAGUCGACGAUGAAGUGGAGCUUGCUCCACGGAUUAGUGGCGAACGGGUGAGGAACACGUGAGAAACCUGCCUCGGAUUUUGGGAUAACAAAUGGAAACGUUUGCUAAUACCAAAUAACGUCGGAGAGUCACAUGACUUUCUGACGAAAGGAAUUCCGAUUCGAGAGGGUCUCGCGGCCUAUCAGCUUGUUGGCGGGGUAAUGGCCCACCAAGGCAACGACGGGUAGCUGGUCUGAGAGGAUGGUCAGCCACACUGGGACUGAGACACGGCCCAGACUCCUACGGGAGGCAGCAGUGGGGAAUCUUGCGCAAUGGGCGAAAGCCUGACGCAGCAACGCCGCGUGCGGGAAGAAGGCCUUCGGGCUGUAAACCGCUUUCAGCAGGAACGAAAAUGACGGUACCUGCAGAAGAAGGAGCGGCCAACUAUGUGCCAGCAGCCGCGGUGAUACAUAGGCUUCAAGCGUUGUCCGGAUUUAUUGGGCGUAAAGAGUUCGUAGGCGGUCGAGUAAGUCGGGUGUGAAAAUUCUGGGCUCAACCCAGAGACGCCACCCGAUACUGCUUAACUUGAGUU